UAGGCAUGUCUUGCCAUUUCCCCAGCGAGUGCCCACCUUUUCCCGUCUCAGUUGACUGAUUAAGGGAGUAUGUGAUUAGAAUUGCUUGGAAGGCCUUGCUAUUCUGGUGCAGAUGUGUAUUUAAUGACUGAGAGAUGUUGCUCCUAGGCACAGAGGUGAAAGGAGAGGUGUGCCAACGCAGGGUAACCAGCAGGGAGCCGACUGGCCCGAGAAGAUGGAAACAGGUGCUAGAGGGCUACAGGUAUUACACGCUCUGCACCAUCCCAAAAUCACCUUUUCUAGUUACGCAUAAAUUUCAUCCUGUCCAUAGUAGAGGGCAUCACUUGCUUAUUGAGUGCCCUGAAGCACACAUUAGUUUUGGGCACUUCCAAGUCCAUCCUUGAAGUCUCUCUGUUCAAAUGCAGGCAGUGUGAAUUUGGUAGUUUUCUCCAUUUGGUCCUAAAUCUGAAGGGGUGGACUGACUCCCACCUCUAGCAUAACUGACAAUCACAACACCUAAUUUGUAUGUCAUUUCCAUUUCUGGGGCAGUGAGGCCCAAGUGUUUCUUGUGUGACAGCUUACCUCUCUAGGGAUUCCAGGGGUUCUGGACUCCUGUGACUGGAUGGAUGGACUUUAAGAUGGUUGGCACUUUGCUUCUCUGAAACGGUCCAUCAUCACCUCUUGGGGAGGGGCUCUGCACACUUCUAUCUUGUCAGCAUAUUCAGUUGAGGGGAUCUUUUUAACCUAAAAACACAGGUGUGUGAACCUCAAACAGAUGAAGACCCAGGGGUUGCAAGUCUCCCGUGUGCCUCCUCCUCCCUUGAGAUAGCUUCCAAGCCUCCCCUGCACACGUCCGUCAGGUUUCUUGGCACGGCCACGGUCUUUGACUUAAAUUGAAGCAUGUUAUCAGAAAGGUUCCCAUCUGUGAUUCUGUCACUGAAGUCAGAAAAGCUCUAAUUCAGAAAGUUUUAAGAACAAAAAGGGACAAAAUGUACCCGCUUGGAUAACCUGUUUGAUGCCCUUUACCUUGUGACAUAGUCUCACCUGCAUGAGCAGGACAUGCUCCAGGAGACAAGGAAACAACUCCCACCACAGUGCUAGUGCUCUUCUGGGGAGUCCCUGUACCCCCAAAUGUGGGCAGUGCCAUUCAGGCUGGGGCCAAAGAUCACUCAGCCCAGUGAUCAACCUGCUUCCCUUUGGCCCAAAGAUCCCAUUUCUGCAGGAGUAGAGCACAGUGAUGAAGAGAUGACUCACUGCCCUGAUUUCUGACUCAUGGACACUUGCUGGCAUCUGAGUGUCUUCACCAUCCUUUUAGAACCCGAGGCAGGUAAGAGGGGCUCUUCUGUGACCUGUGGUCCUAGUUCUGACCUGGAAGGCUGUGCCCAGUAGGACAGCUCACUGCCUGCUUUCAGGGGUAAGCUGUGAGGUUCAUUUUUAUCUCUCUGGCUCCUUGUGCAGUGUAGGCAGCAAGGAUCCUCCUUAGUAUCUAAGGCAAAGGUUUGGUCAACAGUGCUUAAUACUAAAGAAUAGCCUUCUGGGGUUUUUCCCCUGUAUUCCCCCCCCCCACACACACACUCCCCUUCCCCUGGUCCCUUACAAACUGAUAUAAGCAGCAUUUUAUCAACACAAUAUAGGGCCAAUUUUCUUGUGAGGAAAGAAUUUUCAUCUCACAUCAUUUCCAGGCACAUGGGUUAAGGAGAAGCACAGUUGAGUGGAAGAAAUGGUAGGUGAAAUAGUAAGAUGUUUCCCGCAUUAACUAGGACAUCCAACUGUAAGUUGUAAGCUGUAGGUCUGCCAGUCAGCACCCCCGCCUCCACUGUAAGAUGCUGAGUUGCAAGGCUCCUUCGUCAGUGUGGGGCUCACUUUUGCAGUCCCUCAUCACUAACAAAUGCACUAUUUUCCAGAGGACUAUUUUUGUAUGUGUUUGCCUUCUCUUUGUCCAUUACGCACCAGGGUUGUUUCUUCAUAAUAUGAUUCUUCACUUCUCUGAACAGUGUCCUUGGAGAAUUACACAUUUCUCAUGGGCCAUUUUUCCCACGGCAUUUAGACGCAGCUGUUUUUAUCCUUUGCAGUCCUUUUCUGCCUUCUCCUGUCUGUCUCUCAAGGACGGAAAUUACGAGAGUGGGAAGGAUAGCUUUAGCACCUGCUUCACAAGAUCUAAGCCAGGAAUCCCUUCGCACACCAAGAACUGGGGCUUGGAGCACAUCUUUCUCCCCGCCAGUUCUCGUGCCUUACACUCCAGAGUCCCAUGGCGGCUGGCAGAGGAGGGAGGCAAAGGUAACUCCGUUUCAGGCUGAGGGUUCCAUCGCCCGCUCACCUCUCCUUCCCCAGAACAGGUGGGUGUGGGGAGAGGCUGCCCCAGCUCGUCUCAGUGAGGGGCUCUCCAGCAGCACAGCUCACACCUUCCUCUCUGGUCACCUCUCGGGCUGUGUCAAAGCGCCGCUGUAAUGACUGUAAAGUGCCAUGGCUCAAUAUCCGCAUCUAUAAACGUGCAGUUCUGUUCACCCCCUUCCUGUCCCUUUGUUGUGUAGCGUGAGCAUGUGGUCCUGAAGCCAUUGGAGGAACUUAGGUAAAUGGGAUCUUCUCUCAAGGGCCAUGGUCACAGGCCCACAGGGUGACCGAGCCUUCCUGCCUCCAUGAACAUGGUAUUAUCAAGCCAGAUUUCAGUUGUUUUUCUUUUCAUAUUACCAGGUUUAUAAAUGAAUAAACAGACAUUUUAAUUACUCUUA
This is a long non-coding RNA of Eptesicus fuscus (big brown bat), 2708 nucleotides long. RefSeq lists it as uncharacterized. NCBI's taxonomy places the organism in Eukaryota, Metazoa, Chordata, Mammalia, Chiroptera, Vespertilionidae. The transcript has 2 exons. The record is from RefSeq and is a predicted model, not a curated record.